Molecule: unclassified non-coding RNA, 334 nt
Filed under: soil metagenome
Description: partial contains 5.8S ribosomal RNA, internal transcribed spacer 2, and large subunit ribosomal RNA
Rfam family: 5.8S ribosomal RNA (bases 1-120)
Source: RNAcentral
GAUGAAGAACGUAGCGAAAUGCGAUAAGUAAUGUGAAUUGCAGAAUUCAGUGAAUCAUCGAAUCUUUGAACGUACAUUGCGCCCCCCAGUAUUCUGGCGGGCAUGCCUGUUCGAGCGUCAUUUCAACCAUCAAGCCCUGCUUGUGUUGGGGUCCUGCGGCUGCCCGCAGGCCCUGAAAACCAGUGGCGGGCUCGCUAGUCACACCGAGCGCAGUAGCACAUCUCGCUCAGGGCGUGCGGCGGGCUCCAGCCGUUAAAGCACCCACCUUUCGCAAGGUUGACCUCGGAUCAGGUAGGAAUACCCGCUGAACUUAAGCAUAUCAAUAAGCGGAGGA